AUACGUAGGGGGCGAGCGUUGUCCGGAAUGAUUGGGCGUAAAGGGCGCGUAGGCGGCUUUGCAAGUCAGUAGUGGAAGUCCAUUUUUCAAGGAUGGAAGUGCUACAGAAACUGCGGAGCUUGAGUGCAGGAGAGGUUAUCGGAAUUCCCGGUGUAGCGGUGAAAUGCGUAGAGAUCGGGAGGAACACCAGUGGCGAAGGCGGGUAACUGGACUGCAACUGACGCUGAGGCGCGAAAGUGUGGGGAGCAAACAGGAUUAGAUACCCUGGUAGUCCACACUGUAAACGAUGAAUGCUAGGUGUAGGAGGUAUCGACCCCUUCUGUGCCGCAGUAAACACAGUAAGCAUUCCGCCUGGGGAGUACGGUCGCAAGAUUAAAACUCAAAUGAAUUGGCGGGG
RNAcentral lists this ribosomal RNA (397 nucleotides) under uncultured bacterium. RNAcentral's name for it is "partial 16S ribosomal RNA". It matches the Rfam family "Bacterial small subunit ribosomal RNA", at positions 523 to 918 of the family's 1533-position model. The record is from RNAcentral.